RNAcentral lists this ribosomal RNA (105 nucleotides) under Salvator merianae (Argentine black and white tegu). The record is from RNAcentral. Lineage: Eukaryota; Metazoa; Chordata; Lepidosauria; Squamata; Teiidae.
AUUGAGGAGGUCCCUUUCAUGUCUUGGCUAAUCUGGAAGCUAAGCUGAAUUGGACCUGGUUAGUACUUGGAUGGGAGACUUCCUGUAAACCAGGUGCUGUCAGUU